RNAcentral lists this ribosomal RNA (563 nucleotides) under uncultured archaeon. RNAcentral's name for it is "bacterial SSU rRNA". It matches the Rfam family "Archaeal small subunit ribosomal RNA", at positions 314 to 879 of the family's 1478-position model. The record is from RNAcentral.
GCAUUCGCCCUUCGGGUGCGCAGGCGCGAAAACUUUACAAUGCUGGAAACAGCGAUAAGGGGACCUCGAGUGCCAGGUUACAAAUCUGGCUGUCGUGAUGCCUAAAAAGCAUUGCAUAGCAAGGGCCGGGCAAGACCGGUGCCAGCCGCCGCGGUAACACCGGCGGCUCGAGUGGUAACCGUUAUUAUUGGGUCUAAAGGGUCUGUAGCCGGCCGGAUAAGUCUCUUGGGAAAUCCAGCAGCUCAACUGUUGGGCUUUCAGGAGAUACUGUCUGGCUCGAGGCCGGGAGAGGUGAGAGGUACUUCAGGGGUAGGGGUGAAGUCUUGUAAUCCUUGAAGGACCACCAGUGGCGAAGGCGUCUCACCAGAACGGACCUGACGGCAAGGGACGAAAGCUAGGGGCACGAACCGGAUUAGAUACCCGGGUAGUCCUAGCCGUAAACGAUACUCGCUAGGUGUCGGCCACGGUGCGACCGUUGUCGGUGCCGUAGGGAAGCCGUGAAGCGAGCCACCUGGGAAGUACGGCCGCAAGGCUGAAACUUAAAGGAAUUGGCGGGGGAGCAC